Molecule: long non-coding RNA, 322 nt
Organism: Oncorhynchus kisutch (coho salmon)
Lineage: Eukaryota; Metazoa; Chordata; Actinopteri; Salmoniformes; Salmonidae
Exons: 3
Source: RefSeq, a predicted model, not a curated record
ACCACAAAUUGUUCUUCAGCCCAACACACAUCACCAGACUACUGAAGAGAGACAUUUGGAUCAAGUCUGUGGUAAGACGAGAUUAUUACGAGCCAGGAGGAAUCACUGAUAACACCACCAGGAUGAGUUACCUGACCUCUGACCCUAACCAGACAGAGAACAUUGACACCAUUAUCCGACCCCCUUACUUCUUCAUCAGUGGUUUCAUCGACAUCCCCCACAUGGAGUACUAUUACAUCUUCCUCUGCUUCGUAUACAUCAUCUCUCUGGUGGGCAACACCUUCGUCAUGAUGGUUAUCUACAUGGACAACAGUCUCCACAG